AAUCGACGACUCAGCUGCACCAUAAGCACCCACACGAAUUGCUUGAUUCAUUGAAGAAGACGAUUAGAAGCAGCUUUAAGCUCCAAGCUGAUAGCUCAACGCUAGCGGCUACAAGCUCGAAAUUGGGUCUGUAGCUCAGUUGGUUAGAGCGCACCCCUGAUAAGGGUGAGGUCGGCAGUUCGAAUCUGCCCAGACCCACCAAUUUUGUGUGGGAAACGCCUGUAGAAAUACGGGGCCAUAGCUCAGCUGGGAGAGCGCCUGCCUUGCACGCAGGAGGUCAGCGGUUCGAUCCCGCUUGGCUCCACCACUUACUGCUUCUGUUUGAAAGCUUAGAAAUGAGCAUUCCACCCCGCAAGAGAAGGGUGCCUGAAUGUUGAUUUCUAGUCUUUGAUUAGAUCGUUCUUUAAAAAUUUGGGUAUGUGAUAGAAAGAAAUAUAGACCGGGCACCUCUUUCACUGGUGUGUGUCCGGGCUAAGGUAAAGUUUGUGAAAUGCAAACUUUCGGCCAAUGUCGUCUUCACAGUAUAACCAGAUUGCUUGGGGUUAUAU
RNAcentral lists this transfer RNA (548 nucleotides) under Pseudomonas syringae. The stretch from base 125 to 198 matches the Rfam family "tRNA". Lineage: Bacteria; Pseudomonadati; Pseudomonadota; Gammaproteobacteria; Pseudomonadales; Pseudomonadaceae. The record is from RNAcentral.